UUUCAAAACAUUUCAUAUCCCACUGCUUUGCUUCCCUGCUCCUCUCUCUCUCUCUCUCUGGCGAUUCCAGAUCUAGAUCUAGGGUUUGUCUCCAAGGCGAUUUAAGAUCUAGCCUUUCUCAUUGACACCAGAUCGAGGAUCUUCAAGGUGGGUUUAUGGCAUCUUCAAGGUGAGUUUUGCCAUCACCAAUCUCCAAAGAAUCAAGCAAUCUGACCCAGGGUUCCAACUAAUGACGAAGGUCGACAAAUUAGAGUUUUGACUACCGAUCUACUUCUACAUGUAUGCUCUGCAGACUAUCAAGGGUUUUGAGGUUACAUGAUUAACAGAGGUGAAGAUGGAGUCACGAGUUAACAGAGGUGAAGAUGGAGUUGAAGGGGUUCUUCUACAUCACAGGACUUUCACACCUUUUGUUGGGCAUAAUUAGCCUUAUGGUCGAGUUUACUAUGAAGGAUUUUAAGAUUCCACGGAACCUGCAUUAAAGUUAGACUUCAUGCGACUUUUGAGCUGUUUGGUCCAUUCAACCAGUUUGAUUGGUUUACUCUUACCCAAAUUCAAAAUCAAGAUAGAACAUAACCCAAACUGACCCACUUGUAAAUAACAAUGGCAACCGGACUGGAAUCAAAACUUCGUUAUGCAUCAGUUCAUAUUCUGUCUGAUACCAUGGAAGCUGCAAGAAAACCGUCUGCUGCUGCUAUUGUUGGGGUUGCUCAUAGUUGUUAAAAGCCAUCGCCUCUUGCGCCUAGGCCCAUUUUUCAGGCGAGGCGAGGUAGUUGCGCCUUAAGUCGAGGAAAUUGCGCUUUAAUUCUCUAGGUGAUGCACAUUCCGGCGAGAUUCCUAGGCUUAAAAUUUAGAGCCUUCCGUUGAAAAGAAUCGUUUUGAAAGAAAUUGGGGGGCAUGAAGGCGUUUGACGGUUCCUUAAAACACGUCAUAUCGUUCCAUUUGAGUUUUUAGUAAUCAACAUUGACCAAGUAAUUUUGUAGCUGUUGGCUUUCUUUGUUACUGUGCAAUCUGGAGAUUGCUAAUGGGCUUCAGCCGUGGUUGGAUCAUCUCAUUUUUAAUAAUCUAGCAACUAAAUACUAAUGUCAUGGCAUUCAUUAGUGUUGUUUGUUACAUUUGUUUUUAACUGUUAUCAUUAAGUAGACAGUAGGCAAUACCAAUAUUGCUCAUGUCAUAGGACAAACCUAUGGUUUAGGACCAAUUUGACCGUUUGCUCUGUUAGAUUUAAAAAAGUUUUUGUGUUU
Molecule: long non-coding RNA, 1241 nt
Filed under: Helianthus annuus (common sunflower)
Lineage: Eukaryota; Viridiplantae; Streptophyta; Magnoliopsida; Asterales; Asteraceae
Description: hypothetical non coding rna
Source: RNAcentral